Molecule: small RNA, 249 nt
Filed under: Otolemur garnettii (small-eared galago)
Lineage: Eukaryota; Metazoa; Chordata; Mammalia; Primates; Galagidae
Description: Metazoan signal recognition particle RNA (ENSOGAG00000028787.1)
Source: RNAcentral
GCUGGGCGUUGUGGUGGGCACCUGUGGUCCCAGCUACUUGGGAGGCUGAGGCAGGAGACUCGCUUGAGCCCAGGAGUUGGAGGUUGCUGUGAGCAGUGAAGCCAUAGCACUCUACCUAGGGGCUCAGCUUGAGGCUCUGUCUCAAAAAAAAAAAAGAAACAGAGUCUCACUUUAUUGCCCUCGGUAGAGUGCUGUGGUGUUAUAGCUCACAGCAACCUCCAACUCCUGGGCUUAGGCAAUUCUCUUGCC